GGCUGACUCUCUUUUCGGACUCAGCCCGCCUGCACCCAGGUGAAAUAAACAGCCUUGUUGCUCACACAAAGCCUGUUUGGUGGUCUCUUCACACAAACGCGCAUGAAAUUUGGUGCCAUGACUCGGAUCGGGGUACCUCCCUUGGGAGAUCAAUCCCCAGUCCUCCUGCUCUUUGCUCCGUGAGAAAGAUCUACCUAGGACCUCAGGUCCUCAGACUGACCAGCCCAAGGAACAUCUCACCAAUUUCAAAUCUGGAACGCGCAUGAAAAAACCAAACAAACAAAAAAAUUUCUUUUGGUAGCAGAAUAAAAAAACAAAAAAAAGGACUUUUUCUUCUGGACUGAACUAUAUUUAAAUCUCAAAGGAUGGACAUCUCACAACCUUCCUACAGCAAGUACUGUGAGAGCUGCAUCUUGUCCCACUGGAUGGUCUUCAGAGACAAUAAUACAUAAUGGAGCUGUCAUCUCCUAUGAUAACAAUGCCUUCUUCUGGAUACCUCCUGAAGGACCUGCCUGAGGCUCUUUCACUCCAUGUAAAGGUGUGCUGCUUUCCCUUUGCCUUCCGCCAUUAUUGAAAGUUUCCUGAGGCCUCCCCAGCCAUGCUACCUGUACGACCUGUGAAACCAUAAGCCAAAAAAGAUACUAGCGCCAGUCUGGCAGGGGCCUUUUCUAGUCUCAAGCACGCUGAGCAGUCCUACACCUUGCCUUCUGAGAGAGAAGAGGACAGUCCUCAGCCUCCUGAAGCCUGGCAAGGGUGCCUUAGUGAGGACAUCACCUGCAACUCCCAGAUGGAUAGACGAGGCCAUGGAGAGAGGAGAACACCAACCCAUGAGUGACAAGUGCCUGUCAUUGUCAAUGAUGCUGCAAGCACCACGAUGCCCCUUCUUAGCAGGGACCCAGUGGGCCUUACCAGCUUCAUUAUUUUCUAGGCAUGAUCGCAUCCUGUCUCCCAUUUUUGCUAAAAUUCUAUCUAGAGAAAGAGCUCAUUUUUAGCUAAAAAAAAAAAAAUCCUGUUUUAUCUGCUAAAAAAUCACAUAAAAUAACUAUUGGACUGUUUGAAAUGGCGUGGCCUCUGCUCUGACUUAUUAACUGUGAUCUUGACUAAGUUAAGCAGUCACUCUGACCUUACGUUACUCCCUCAAAUUUGAAUAAAAAUAGCAACUUCCUCUACUUAUAAAUUACUUCUAAAAAUUAGAUUCUUGAGAUUCAAAGAUAGGUAAUACCUGCCUUCAAGAAACUAACUCUCAAGGCUGCUGUAUGGAAAUCCUGCCUCCUAACUAGAUUGCACUCUUCUAAAUGCUGUACUACUGCUAUACACAUUCUCCAAAUCAAGUUAAUUUCAAAGUCUUGCUGAAUCUACUUUUUAGAAAUAUCUAAGUCAUGUGUACGUCUUUCCAUUCCUGCAUCCCAGGGGAUUGCAGCCAUCAGCUCACCUCCUCUCCUAAUCCAAAAUGUUCCUAACUGGUCUCCUGCCUUGCCUUUCUCCUGAUCACUUCCUACAACAGAGUGAUCGUGACUUGAAAUGCAAAUUAUAUUGUAUGAGUUAUCUCCCAAAAACAUUCAGCUGCCUAGCUCCCUUAACAUGAAGUCCAAAUUGCCCUAACAUGGAGUCCAAAUUUCGUUAGCAUGGUUUAAGAGUCUCUUCAUGAACAAAAGGCUUCUGUCUUCUCCAGUCAUACCCAAAUCUUUCCUAAUCAAAAGCCAUUUUUAUCAGUUUAAGAACAGAGACAGUUGUUCCAGAUAUAAGGAAGAGCAUUGGCAAAGUUGCAGAUAAUAAUUUAGGUGAGUGUGAUUCAGAGAUCUCAUUAGUGAUGCCUCAGAAUGACUAGGAGACAUGGAUAAAAGGAUAACAAGAAAGAAAAGGAGACCACAAAACCACAGUCCAGAUUGUAGGAGGCUUGGGUUGUGGUAAUGAGCUGGGACUUCUCUGCUGGCUAUCAGGAGUCCUCAUCUAUGAUCUGCUAGAAGAAUAUCAUGAUUAGAACUGCAUUUUAGAAAGUUAAGUCUAGUGGCUGCAGAGCAUACAUAUAGAAGGUAGAGCUUUGAGUCCACAAGAACAUUAUGGUUUAAUAAAACUCUGUGAGAGAGAUUAGAGCACAAACAAAGGCAGUCAUAAUGGAAAUGGAAAGAAAGUUAAAGGCUAAAGACUCCAGAGACAUUUUGAAAAAUGUGGGAAAUUAGGAGAGGAGCUGCAUCAAUCAGGACAUCAGUGUUACUGAUUUGCGAGACUAGGGAAUUAGGAUGUUCUUGAUGAAAGUGAGCAAAGGAAUUUUGCAGAGAUCAGAGUAGAACUUUUUUUUUUCCCUGAAAGCAUUCUGAAAACUGUAAACACCCUACUGCAUAAGAUAUCAUCAUCAUUAUUACUAAGCAGUCCUAUGUUAAUAGCCCUUUGGGUCUAGAGCUUGAAUUAUGCGCUAUACCUUGUACUUGAAAGAAACUAUAUCCUGACUAGUCCAGAUGGAUAUUACUUAACCUGCUUUAAGAUCCUCUAGGGAGGAACAACCACAACAAAUCCAAGAAAGGUCCCCUUCCUAGCAACUGUGCAUCCUUCCAGCUGCCUUAUCAAUGAUAUCAUCCCUUCGAUAUGUUACAGAGUCCAUUUGGACAAUUUUUAAAGGGACUCAUGACAUUCUGGUAAAAGAGAAUUAUGAUUUCUGGACUCUUUAAAAUUCAAAUGUAGGGGGAAAAAAAGCAAGUCUUCUGUUUGAUCAUAAAAGCUAUAAAGAUGCAAAGAGAGAAAGGUCCAUUCUAGCAUUUCAAUAAUAUCUGUUUUCACUGAAAACCUGAGCUGACUUUAAUCAUCUACACUUCAGACUGGGCUAAUACCUCAGAAAGCUGCAAAUACUGUGAACGCUGUCACACUAGCACAAAGCCUUUGCAAAAAUUUCCCCAAAAUACACAGAUUAAAAAGCACAUUUUCUCUCUCUCUGUUUUCCUCUCUCUCUCUCUCUCUCUCACACGCACACACACAUACACAUGCACAAAAUUUGUCAUUAAUUGUUAAAUUAUUUUCAUUGUAGGAAAGAUAAAUCUUUCAAUUAAUAUAGUAUUGUUCAUGCUAAAAAAUGUCUUAUCCAUUAAAAAGAUACUCAGUUGUAAUAGAGUAGUUCAAUCAAUACUGGUAAAUUGCACAUUUUGAGGGGAUAAUUGGUAAAUGCAAACUCAACUAGAAAAGAAGAGAAAGCAGUGUGUCUUUGUUCCUUCUGUGGUAAAGGAAUUCAGACCACCACCAGUCAACAUACCUUGAAUUAUGAAAACAGCACCUACUAUUUCAUCAUUCAGAGAGAUCACUCACAAACCUCUUUUUCAAUUGUAUCUAAUUUUUUUGUGCUGGCAUUAGGCAAUGGACCACCUUUGUAUUUAAAGUCUUUUCUUUAAAAAGAUUUUAAAUUUCAGAAAAAGCCUUUGCACUUAAACAGUGCUUCCUUUUCUGUCACUUUCAUGCUUAAAUGGUCGUCCAAUUUGACAUUAACUUUAUCGAGAAUAAUAAGUCUCAAUAGAGCUUCUAUUAUCCAGUGUUCUGUGAGUAGGUAGCACUUCAGUUGAAAGAAGAUUAUUCCAUUUUUAUAUUUUCUGGAACACUAGAGGAAAAUCUCAGACAUUGUCACAUUUCAUUUGCAGGUAAACCUGUAUUCAUCUUAGGUUAACUGGUUACCACUACUCACUUUCACCUAGUGUUUCCAUAUUUUUUUCUUAUAGAGCUGUGUCUACUUUUAUUUCAGAAUGAAUCAUGUGUGGCUAUUUGAAUUUUUAUGACUCAUGGAUUCCUCAUGAAUAUCCAAAUUGUAUUUUCAUUACCCAGUAUAUGAUUCUUUCUAAGUAGCAAGAUUUUUAUUGUAUGUGUACAGUUUGAUGCCAUUUCUUAUGUGUUAGUAGCGAAUGUCUCCUUGGCUUAUUCAUGAAGAAAUGGGUGAUGAAGGUGCCCACAAGCAUUUCUACUUGAUAUUUGUGUUCAGAUUCUUUUAAUAAAGGAUUUUGACAACUCAACAAAUUAGAAGAAAGUAUGGUGAAGAGCAAACUCUUCACAUGUUUGUUCUGCACAUUUUUAUCUUGUUCAUGCAAACAAUAUGUCAAUGUGGCUAUCUACAAAUAAAAGUUUGGAAGUUUUAGCUAAGAAAAAUGCCGUUCUCUAAAUAAAGUAAUACAGUGUGAAAAUU
This 4156-nucleotide long non-coding RNA is filed under the name Homo sapiens (human). RNAcentral's name for it is "long intergenic non-protein coding RNA 458". Lineage: Eukaryota; Metazoa; Chordata; Mammalia; Primates; Hominidae. The record is from RNAcentral.